Molecule: ribosomal RNA, 505 nt
Filed under: uncultured bacterium
Lineage: Bacteria
Description: bacterial SSU rRNA
Rfam family: Bacterial small subunit ribosomal RNA
Source: RNAcentral
AACGAACGCUGGCGGCGUGGAUAAGACAUGCAAGUCGAACGAGAAACUUACUUAGCUUGCUUUGAAAGUUUCUAGUGGCGAACGGGUGAGUAACACGUGAGUUACCUGCCCCGAAGUGGGGGAUAGCCUCUCGAAAGGGAGAUUAAUACCCCAUGUGAUCGUAAGAUUAAAGGCGGCUUCGGCUGUCGCUUCGGGAUGGGCUCGCGGCCUAUCAGCUAGUUGGUGAGGUAACUGCUUACCAAGGCGAUGACGGGUAGCUGGUCUGAGAGGACGACCAGUCACACUGGAACUGAGACACGGUCCAGACACCUACGGGUGGCAGCAGUCGAGAAUCAUUCGCAAUGGGCGAAAGCCUGACGGUGCGACGCCGCGUGGAGGAUGAAGGCCCUAGGGUCGUAAACUCCUGUCAUCAGGGAGUAAUGGCUUACGUAGUAACUGACGUGGGCAGUGAUAGUACCUGAAGAGGAAGGGACGGCAAACUUCGUGCCAGCCGCCGCCGUAACAC